Molecule: ribosomal RNA, 457 nt
Filed under: uncultured Spirulina sp.
Lineage: Bacteria; Bacillati; Cyanobacteriota; Cyanophyceae; Spirulinales; Spirulinaceae
Description: bacterial SSU rRNA
Rfam family: Bacterial small subunit ribosomal RNA
Source: RNAcentral
AGACUUUGAUCCUGGCUCAGGAUGAACGCUGGCGGCGUGCUUAACACAUGCAAGUCGAACGAAGUCUUCGGACUUAGUGGCGGACGGGCGAGUAACGCGUGAGGAUCUGCCCUUAGGUUGGGGACAACCACUGGAAACGGUGGCUAAUACCCAAUGUGCCGAGAGGUGAAAGGUUAACUGCCUGAGGAUGAACUCGCGUCUGAUUAGCUAGUUGGUGGGGUAAGGGCUCACCAAGGCGACGAUCAGUAGCUGGUCUGAGAGGAUGAUCAGCCACACUGGGACUGAGACACGGCCCAGACUCCUACGGGAGGCAGCAGUGGGGAAUUUUCCGCAAUGGGCGAAAGCCUGACGGAGCAACGCCGCGUGAGGGAGGAAGGCCCUAGGGUUGUAAACCUCUUUUCUCUGGGAAGAAGAUCUGACGGUACCUGAGUGAAUAAGCCUCGGCGUACAUCCGUGC